RNAcentral lists this long non-coding RNA (629 nucleotides) under Apteryx rowi (Okarito brown kiwi). Its description in RNAcentral is "lncRNA (ENSARWG00000016917.1)". The record is from RNAcentral. Lineage: Eukaryota; Metazoa; Chordata; Aves; Apterygiformes; Apterygidae.
GUGAUGGUUGACCACUUUUCUCCAGGCAUUCAAGUCAACCAUUUCUUCCUCGUGCUGAUGCAGCAACUCACCACAUCAUAGUGAGUUUCCUGAUGUAACAGGGAUGUAUUCAAAUAAUCAGUGGAGUUUGUUAAGACUGUGUGGCAGUUUUGGCUUGCCUUUGGAGUGCUGACUGCUUGUCCGUCUCUCAGGAGCCAUCAGUCUUCAAUUUGUAAAUGUGGAAGCAGAGCAGGGGAUGGGAAAAGAGGCAGGGAGCCCCUCUUCAGGGACAAGCCCUGCACCAGCCCAUGAGACCAGCUGCUUGCAAGGUGGCCAACACCUUACCUAAACUCAAACUCCACAAUGAGACGCUUGCAUCUUUCCAUGACUUUUUCUUACAAUUCUCUUCAGUGUCUUAUACACAAAUUGUUAAUACCACAACAAAGAUAUUCAGCUGUAUCUUACACAAGUCCCUUAUUAUAGAAGAGAUGCUCCAUGGAGGACAACACAGGAGGACACAUGCAUAUGUUUUUACGCAGUCACGCUGUUUCUUUGUCAAUGCACUUGACAGUAAUGUGGCAAGAAGCCUCAAAUUUAGCUGCAGUGCUAUGAAAUACAGCAGGCCCUUUAAAGACUUAAAAGUGCAAUAG